GGCAGCAGCUAAGAAUAUUCCGCAAUGGACGAAAGUCUGACGGAGCGACGCCGCGUGGAUGAUGAAGGCCGGAAGGUUGUAAAAUCCUUUAGCAAGUGAGGAAUAAGCAGAGCAGGGAAUGGCUCUGUGGUGACUGUAGCUUGAGAAUAAGCAUCGGCUAAUUACGUGCCAGCAGCCGCGGUAACACGUAAGAUGCUAGCGUUGUUCGGAAUUAUUGGGCGUAAAGGGCAUGUAGGCGGUUAUUCAAGUCUGGUGUGAAAUCUCGGAGCUUAACUCCGAAACUGCAUUGGAAACUAGAUGACUAGAAUUGCUGAGGGGAAGCCGGAAUUCCAGGUGUAGGGGUGAAAUCUGUAGAGAUCUGGAAGAACACCAAUGGCGAAGGCAGGCUUCUAGCAGAUAAUUGACGCUGAGGUGCGAAGGGACGGGGAGCAAACAGGAUUAGAUACCCUGGUAGUCCGUCCAGUAAACUAUGUACACUAGAUGUCCGGGCAGGAGCUCGGGUGUCGCAGCAAACGCUUUAAGUGUACCGCCUGGGAAGUAUGCCCGCAAGGGUGAAACUCAAAGGAAUUGACGG
Molecule: ribosomal RNA, 574 nt
Filed under: uncultured rumen bacterium
Lineage: Bacteria
Description: bacterial SSU rRNA
Rfam family: Bacterial small subunit ribosomal RNA
Source: RNAcentral